CACUAAGGAGAGGAGAUGGUGAGUGCACGUGCGUGUGGUAAUGUCUCUUCUUUUGGAUGUCCUCUCUUUCUCGGGGAGGUGAUUGAGGGAAUUUAGAGGUAGUAAAAGCCAAAACUUCUAUAGAUCUGUACGAGGUCCUAAAGGAGAAGGUGGGGCGUCUUUGAGGACAGGAGAGGGAAGAGACAAGAAGGUUUUAUGUAGGUGGUUCACGACGACGAGGUACUUGCGCCCACGAACAAGGGCCGUUGAAGUUCGUAGAGGUAGGUACGGGAACGCGGUCUUCCAAGGGAAACUACACCGCUUAGGUAAGUCUUUUCUUCCUUGCGUAAGACAGCUAGUGUGCACUUCUUAAAGCGUACACGCACAUGUGACAAGCAGUUCAAGUGGUGUGGCGAGGCAGGUUGAGCCCUCACUGCUGCCACAACCUGUACCUGUCUUUGUCCAAUGGCUUCCUCCUGAGUUGUUACUUC
Molecule: ribosomal RNA, 470 nt
Filed under: Triticum aestivum (bread wheat)
Lineage: Eukaryota; Viridiplantae; Streptophyta; Magnoliopsida; Poales; Poaceae
Description: partial small subunit ribosomal RNA
Source: RNAcentral